RNAcentral lists this ribosomal RNA (254 nucleotides) under uncultured bacterium. Its description in RNAcentral is "partial 16S ribosomal RNA". It matches the Rfam family "Bacterial small subunit ribosomal RNA", at positions 524 to 776 of the family's 1533-position model. The record is from RNAcentral.
UACGUAGGGGGCUAGCGUUGUCCGGAAUCAUUGGGCGUAAAGCGCGUGUAGGCGGCUGGUCAAGCGUGGUGUGAAAUCUCCGGGCUCAACCCGGAAACUGCAUUGCGAACUGACCUAGCUGGAGUGCAGGAGAGGGCAGCGGAAUUCCCGGUGUAGCGGUGAAAUGCGUAGAUAUCGGGAAGAACACCAGUGGCGAAGGCGGCUGCCUGGCCUGUAACUGACGCUGAGACGCGAAAGCGUGGGGAGCGAACCGG